UACGUAGGGCGCAAGCGUUGUCCGGAAUUAUUGGGCGUAAAGAGCUCGUAGGCGGCUUGUCACGUCGGGUGUGAAAGCCCGGGGCUCAACCCCGGGAGGCGGGUGGAUACUGUCAAGCUCGAGUCCGGAAGAGGCGAGUGGAAUUCCUGGUGUAGCGGUGAAAUGCGCAGAUAUCAGGAGGAACACCAAUGGCGAAGGCAGCUCGCUGGGACGUGACUGACGCUGAGACGCGAAAGCGUGGGGAGCAAACAGG
RNAcentral lists this ribosomal RNA (253 nucleotides) under uncultured bacterium. RNAcentral describes it as "partial 16S ribosomal RNA". It matches the Rfam family "Bacterial small subunit ribosomal RNA", at positions 524 to 776 of the family's 1533-position model. The record is from RNAcentral.